CAUGCAAGUCGAACGGUAGCAGGAAGUGCUUGCACUUUGCUGACGAGUGGCGGACGGGUGAGUAAUGCUUGGGAACUUGCCUUUAGGUGGGGGAUAACAGUUGGAAACGACUGCUAAUACCGCAUAAUGUCUACGGACCAAAGGGGGCUUCGGCUCCCGCCUAGAGAGAGGCCCAAGUGAGAUUAGCUAGUUGGUGGGGUAAAGGCCUACCAAGGCAACGAUCUCUAGCUGUUCUGAGAGGAAGAUCAGCCACACUGGGACUGAGACACGGCCCAGACUCCUACGGGAGGCAGCAGUGGGGAAUAUUGCACAAUGGGGGAAACCCUGAUGCAGCCAUGCCGCGUGUGUGAAGAAGGCCUUCGGGUUGUAAAGCACUUUCAGUUGUGAGGAAAGGUUGGUAGUUAAUACCUGCCAGCUGUGACGUUAACAACAGAAGAAGCACCGGCUAACUCCGUGCCAGCAGCCGCGGUAAUACGGAGGGUGCGAGCGUUAAUCGGAAUUACUGGGCGUAAAGCGCACGCAGGCGGCUUGUUAAGCUAGAGGUGAAAGCCCCGCGCUCAACGUGGGAACUGCCUUUAGAACUGGCAGGCUAGAGUCUUGGAGAGGGGAGUGGAAUUCCAGGUGUAGCGGUGAAAUGCGUAGAUAUCUGGAGGAACAUCAGUGGCGAAGGCGGCUCCNUGGCCAAAGACUGACGCUCAUGUGCGAAAGUGUGGGUAGCGAACAGGAUUAGAUACCCUGGUAGUCCACACCGUAAACGCUGUCUACUAGCUGUUUGUGUAUUUAAUACGUGAGUAGCGAAGCUAACGCGCUAAGUAGACCGCCUGGGGAGUACGGCCGCAAGGUUAAAACUCAAAUGAAUUGACGGGGGGCCCGCACAAGCGGUGGAGCAUGUG
This 893-nucleotide ribosomal RNA is filed under the name Alteromonadales bacterium HOT4G6. Its description in RNAcentral is "bacterial SSU rRNA". It matches the Rfam family "Bacterial small subunit ribosomal RNA", at positions 54 to 943 of the family's 1533-position model. The record is from RNAcentral. Lineage: Bacteria; Pseudomonadati; Pseudomonadota; Gammaproteobacteria; Alteromonadales.